GACGAACGCUGGCGGCGUGCUUAACACAUGCAAGUCGAACGGAAAGGCCCUGCUUUUGUGGGGUGCUCGAGUGGCGAACGGGUGAGUAACACGUGAGUAACCUGCCCUUGACUUUGGGAUAACUUCAGGAAACUGGGGCUAAUACCGGAUAGGAGCUCCUGCUGCAUGGUGGGGGUUGGAAAGUUUCGGCGGUUGGGGAUGGACUCGCGGCUUAUCAGCUUGUUGGUGGGGUAGUGGCUUACCAAGGCUUUGACGGGUAGCCGGCCUGAGAGGGUGACCGGCCACAUUGGGACUGAGAUACGGCCCAGACUCCUACGGGAGGCAGCAGGGGGGAAUAUUGCACAAUGGGCGGAAGCCUGAUGCAGCAACGCCGCGUGCGGGAUAACGGCCUUCGGGUUGUAAACCGCUUUCGCCUGUGACGAAGCGUGCGUGACGGUAAUGGGUAAAGAAGCACCGGCUAACUACGUG
This 468-nucleotide ribosomal RNA is filed under the name uncultured bacterium. RNAcentral's name for it is "partial 16S ribosomal RNA". It matches the Rfam family "Bacterial small subunit ribosomal RNA", at positions 28 to 507 of the family's 1533-position model. The record is from RNAcentral.